GGCCCACACGGAAACGAAACGGAAUUCAAUACGACGCGGCGAAGGCAGGUGCUUGUCGGACAAGCGUUAUAACGCGGGCGCGUGCGAACGAGCGUCCCUGUCUCCGCUGUGACAAGACGGCGCGUGGAGGCGAGUUGGAUAGCGUCACGUACGCAGAAUGUGAGACAGAGGCGGAAGAACGAAGGGAAGGGGAGUGCGUGCGGAGACAAAGAGCGUUAGUAACUCAAUUCUCCAACGCUAUACGGAAGCGCCACCGGAGCCCGGAAGCGGACGCGAUACGCCCGAAGAGCCCAGCUGUUCCAGCGUGUGCUGCCGCAGCCGACCAGCGUCGAACUUGACGUUUGUGAGCCUCCAUUGAGCUUGCGAUGGAUGGACACGUGGCACAGGCAGUGUCAAAUGGGCUGGACAAACAAAGAGCGAGGGACACCAAGCCUCCGUCUUCAGAGUCAUCGUCACCACCUAUCUCAGAAUCAAGUAG
This is a long non-coding RNA of Dermacentor albipictus, 478 nucleotides long. RefSeq lists it as uncharacterized. NCBI's taxonomy places the organism in Eukaryota, Metazoa, Arthropoda, Arachnida, Ixodida, Ixodidae. The record is from RefSeq and is a predicted model, not a curated record.